GAUGAACGCUGGCGGCGUGCCUAAUACAUGCAAGUCGAGCGAACGGACGAGAAGCUUGCUUCUCUGAUGUUAGCGGCGGACGGGUGAGUAACACGUGGAUAACCUACCUAUAAGACUGGGAUAACUUCGGGAAACCGGAGCUAAUACCGGAUAAUAUUUUGAACCGCAUGGUUCAAAAGUGAAAGACGGUCUUGCUGUCACUUAUAGAUGGAUCCGCGCUGCAUUAGCUAGUUGGUAAGGUAACGGCUUACCAAGGCAACGAUGCAUAGCCGACCUGAGAGGGUGAUCGGCCACCCGGGAACUGAGACAGGGUCAUGACUCCUACGAGACGCAGCAGAAGGGAAUCGUCCGCAAUGGGGGAGAGCCUGACGGAGCAGCGCGGCGUGAGUGAUGAAGGUCUUCGGAUCGUAAAACUCUGUUAUUAGGGAAGAACAUAUGUGUAAGUAACUGUGCACAUCUUGACGGUACCUGAUCAGAAAGCCACGGCUAACUACGUG
This 497-nucleotide ribosomal RNA is filed under the name uncultured bacterium. RNAcentral's name for it is "partial 16S ribosomal RNA". It matches the Rfam family "Bacterial small subunit ribosomal RNA", at positions 28 to 507 of the family's 1533-position model. The record is from RNAcentral.